This 232-nucleotide ribosomal RNA is filed under the name uncultured bacterium. Its description in RNAcentral is "partial 16S ribosomal RNA". It matches the Rfam family "Bacterial small subunit ribosomal RNA", at positions 99 to 334 of the family's 1533-position model. The record is from RNAcentral.
CGGACGGGUGAGUAAUGUCUGGGAAACUGCCUGAUGGAGGGGGAUAACUACUGGAAACGGUAGCUAAUACCGCAUAACGUCGCAAGACCAAAGAGGGGGACCUUCGGGCCUCUUGCCAUCGGAUGUGCCCAGAUGGGAUUAGCUAGUAGGUGAGGUAACGGCUCACCUAGGCGACGAUCCCUAGCUGGUCUGAGAGGAUGACCAGCCACACUGGAACUGAGACACGGUCCAG